GAAGGAGGAUGGGCCUUAGACAGACAUCACUCUUUAGAAUCCCUGCAACUUUGAGCAAGUUCGUGAAUCUCACUAAGGCUCAGUUUCCUCCAUAAAAUUAAUCAAUAUCAGGGCCUCUGCAUUGGACAACUCCAGAGGGCACCAUUGGGGUUAUACCUUGUGUUUGCCUAACCUUCAUUGCAGUGGGCAGGUGCAUGCUUUCUACAAUGUCCUAAGGUCUAAAGGGGUAGAGUUCUGUGUGUGGCAUUUUAGGCCUGGAAAGGAUGAGAGUCUACAAAACCAGAGAAAUACUGCAGAGCUCCUAAAGUCCUUGGAAUGUCCUAAGUGCAAAUGGUCAAACCCAGGAGGGAAUGGUAUGAACCUCUGGUUUACAGCCAUUGGUAAGAAGCACACAUGACAACCUGGACUUUCCAUCAACAUUUGAAGCGGGAGCAGUCUUGUGGGAUCAAGCUCUUAACCUGUGGGGUCUGCUACUAACUCUGAGAUCCCAGACCACCACCCAUGAUCCCAGGCUGGAGGAAGCAGCAGGCUAGCGGAAUUCAGGACCAAUGAGCCAGGAAAGAGGACCCAAUGCAGAGCUCACAUCCCACCCUCCUUCCCCCAUGACAAAGCACUGGCAAACCCUGCCAAAGAAGAAGCUUGGCUGCAAAGCAGUCUGGAACUGGACCCGGGAUAGAUUCACCAGGAGCUCACCACCACAGGGAAUGCUGCACUUUGACUGGACAGAAUGCAUCCUCCAUGCCCACAGAGCAUGUGCCCAGGAUGAAUCUCACUGUAUCCCAGUUCCUCAUGCUUGGCCCCAAACCUCUUUUUCACAGUAAUAAAGAAAACACACUUUACAAAAAGGC
RNAcentral lists this long non-coding RNA (848 nucleotides) under Homo sapiens (human). RNAcentral's name for it is "cancer susceptibility 22". Lineage: Eukaryota; Metazoa; Chordata; Mammalia; Primates; Hominidae. The record is from RNAcentral.